This is a non-coding RNA of Vicia faba (fava bean), 306 nucleotides long. The record is from the annotation of a GenBank genome assembly. Lineage: Eukaryota; Viridiplantae; Streptophyta; Magnoliopsida; Fabales; Fabaceae.
AUGACACCUUCAUCUUCUUCAAUGAUCAAAAACACCAUCGUUCCUUCGAUCUUUACCACACCGGUACAAACUCCUUCAACUCUGUUGCUCAGUUUCUCCAUCGCGGAUUACUCAACUUCUCCUUCUUCAACGAUUCUGUCGCUGUUUAGCCUUGAGGCUCCAUCGAUCACCAUCUUCAUCUCAGACUAUUUUUACUUAUGUCAUUUGUUCAGUUAUGGUACUGAAGUGAAGCGUGAAGAAAGGAAGAUGCACGAAUCUGAGAAAAUUGUUGGAGCUGCAGUGAUGAAGAUCAAAGAUAAUGUCUGA